RNAcentral lists this ribosomal RNA (497 nucleotides) under uncultured bacterium. RNAcentral describes it as "partial 16S ribosomal RNA". It matches the Rfam family "Bacterial small subunit ribosomal RNA", at positions 28 to 507 of the family's 1533-position model. The record is from RNAcentral.
GAUGAACGCUGGCGGCGUGCCUAAUACAUGCAAGUCGAGCGAACAGACGAGGAGCUUGCUCCUCUGACGUUAGCGGCGGACGGGUGAGUAACACGUGGAUAACCUACCUAUAAGACUGGGAUAACUUCGGGAAACCGGAGCUAAUACCGGAUAAUAUAUUGAACCGCAUGGUUCAAUAGUGAAAGACGGUUUUGCUGUCACUUAUAGAUGUAUCCGCGCCGCAUUAGCUAGUUGGUAAGGUAACAGCUUACCAAGGCAACGAUGCGUAGCCGACCUGAGAGGGUGAUCGGCCACACUGGAACUGAGACACGGUCCAGACUCCGACGGGAGGCAGCAGUAGGGAAUCUUCCGCAAUGGGCGAAAGCCUGACGGAGCAACGCCGCGUGAGUGAUGAAGGUCUUCGGAUCGUAAAACUCUGUUAUUAGGGAAGAACAAAUGUGUAAGUAACUAUGCACGUCUUGACGGUACCUAAUCAGAAAGCCACGGCUAACUACGUG